UACGUAGGGUCCGAGCGUUGUCCGGAAUCAUUGGGCGUAAAGAGCGUGUAGGCGGCUCGGUAAGGUUGCGGUGAAAGCCCGGGGCUCAACCCCGGGUCGGCCGUGGCAACUGCUGGGCUGGAGCACAGUAGAGGCGGGUGGAAUUCCGGGUGUAGCGGUGGAAUGCGUAGAGAUCCGGAAGAACACCGGUGGCGAAGGCGGCCCGCUGGGCUGUUGCUGACGCUGAGGCGCGACAGCGUGGGGAGCAAACAGG
Molecule: ribosomal RNA, 253 nt
Filed under: uncultured bacterium
Lineage: Bacteria
Description: partial 16S ribosomal RNA
Rfam family: Bacterial small subunit ribosomal RNA
Source: RNAcentral